RNAcentral lists this ribosomal RNA (311 nucleotides) under uncultured Lactobacillus sp. RNAcentral's name for it is "bacterial SSU rRNA". It matches the Rfam family "Bacterial small subunit ribosomal RNA", at positions 505 to 814 of the family's 1533-position model. The record is from RNAcentral. Lineage: Bacteria; Bacillati; Bacillota; Bacilli; Lactobacillales; Lactobacillaceae.
GUGCCAGCCGCUGCGGUAAUACGUAGGUGGCAAGCGUUAUCCGGAUUUAUUGGGCGUAAAGCGAGCGCAGGCGGUUUUUUAAGUCUGAUGUGAAAGCCUUCGGCUUAACCGAAGAAGUGCAUCGGAAACUGGGAAACUUGAGUGCAGAAGAGGACAGUGGAACUCCAUGUGUAGCGGUGAAAUGCGUAGAUAUAUGGAAAGAACACCAGUGGCGAAGGCGGCUGUCUGGUCUGUAACUGACGCUGAGCUCGAAAGCAUGGGUAGCGAACAGGAUUAGACUACCCUGGUAGUCCAUGUCGUAAACGAUGAAU